UACAGAGGGUGCAAGCGUUGCUCGGAUUUACUGGGCGUAAAGCGUACGCAGACGGCCACGCAGGUCGGGUGUGAAAGCCCCGGGCUCAACCCGGGAAUUGCAUUCGAAACCAUGUGGCUCGAGUGUGGGAGAGGAAAGUGGAAUUCCUGGUGUAGAGGUGAAAUUCGUAGAUAUCAGGAGGAACACCGGCGGCGAAGGCGGCUUUCUGGUCCACAACUGACGUUCAGGUACGAAAGCGUGGGGAGCAAACAGGAUUAGAUACCCUGGUAGUCCACGCUGUAAACGAUGAGUGCUGGAUGUCGGGGGUAUUCACCCCCUCGGUAUCGAAGCUAACGCGUUAAGCACUCCGCCUGGGGAGUACGGCCGCAAGGUUG
Molecule: ribosomal RNA, 374 nt
Filed under: uncultured prokaryote
Description: bacterial SSU rRNA
Rfam family: Bacterial small subunit ribosomal RNA
Source: RNAcentral